GGGGACGCGUGGAUUCGACAGGGGAUGUUUUGGCAGAAUUGCAGGCCGAGGUGCCAUCGCCUCGCUAAACAGGUGGCAAAAAAGUAACAGGCGAGCGUGAGCUUGCCCUCGCUGCCUAACUAGGCAGCGACGUCCGCCUCCGCCUCUCCUCGAGGGUGGAGGGCCGGGCGCCAAGAAGUCGAGGUGCCGCCGAUCCCGACGCCGCUGGGGAGACGCGAAAGACCUUUAGCGGCUGGCCUGGGAUGACCCCGCCGGUCGGGGCGAUCCGGGCGAGAGCAAAAAGGCCGGCUACGCUUGUAGCAUAUUCUGCUGGGGUAUCCUUUGGACGGGGAGUUCGACUCUCCCCCGUCUCCACCA
This 357-nucleotide transfer-messenger RNA is filed under the name Chloroflexota bacterium. RNAcentral's name for it is "Chloroflexi bacterium (groundwater metagenome) transfer-messenger RNA". It matches the Rfam family "transfer-messenger RNA". Rfam says of the family: Bacterial tmRNA, also known as 10Sa RNA or SsrA, is named for its dual tRNA and mRNA-like properties. Its role is to liberate the mRNA from a stalled ribosome. To accomplish this part of the tmRNA is used as a reading frame that ends in a translation stop signal. Lineage: Bacteria; Bacillati; Chloroflexota. The record is from RNAcentral.